Triticum aestivum (bread wheat) is the source of this 4040-nucleotide RNA transcript. It is a transcript of the gene named calcium-dependent protein kinase 20, with no coding region annotated. The transcript is spliced from 3 exons. The record is from RefSeq and is a predicted model, not a curated record. NCBI's taxonomy places the organism in Eukaryota, Viridiplantae, Streptophyta, Magnoliopsida, Poales, Poaceae.
GCGCCCGCACCACCCAUCGCCCCAGCACCCCGCCGCCCCACCACCCCACCACACUCGAGCUCGCCGUUUCUCGCCGACCGGAGCCCAGCCGCCCCGCCCCUCCUUCCCGCCCUCCUGGAUCCAGCCGCAAUGGCGCCGUGCCGUCGGUGGCAGAUGUGGUCGGGGCCCUGGUGCGGAGAAUGACACGGAUGCGCCGUCCCACGUUGGUGGCCGGUGCGGAUCAGGGAAGCGAGCGGAGCUCCUGCAGCAUUGCAGCCAUCGUCCUCUGUGUCACCGGCCGAGCAUGCACACUACUGAGCAUGGCGACGACGGCGUGCGCGAAGUACGCGGCUGAUAGCUCGCACGCGGUUUGACCUCUUGGACUUUCAUGCGGCCGUCGCGGGUUCCGGCAUCGGCAGCGUGCGGGAGAAGCCGGGUGCGGUGGCUCCCAACACAGGAGCGCAGGUGAAACACAGGAGCGCGGGUGAAGAUGUUCUAACCUAUCGUGAGCACCUGCCCUUCAUCUGUGUCUUUCUGCAGAAAUGGCACUUUACUUCUAGGUUUCUUUCCGGGAGCAAUUAGUGGAGUACUAUGCAAACAAUAAAAGUUACAAAGAUGGUGAAGAGAACAUGUUAACCAGCUUUGCUGACCUGUUCUCUCAGGAUCGACUUCCUUCUCAAUAGUGAAAUUGCUUCUGUUGUUCAAGUGAGAGAAACAUGCAGGUUUCUUAAUGAUCCACUAAAUUAUUUUUGGUAAAAGUUUGCUUCACAUCAAUUGUGUAAUAUGAAGAGAAAUCAUGGUGCUUUUCCUUUCGUCGUGUACAAAAUUGUUUCCCGUUCAUUACUUAAUUUGUAGAUGAAUAAUAGGGUACUUAUUAUUUGCGUGCAUGGAUUUCAUUCAAAUAGAAUUUUCAAAGACAAAUUAAAUGCCAUACCUUACUAAACUCAGAUUAGCGCAUCCAGCAGAGAAAAGUUGUGUACUUAUUCCUAACAGUACCAAAUAAUUUAAAUUCUGAAUGGUUUUCGUCAGCAACUAUUGUGAGUUGUCUUUGCAAUUCCACAUAGUAAUCUUAUAUUUACUAAUUGGAGGCACCAUCCGAGAUACCACGUUAAUCCUAGAAACUAAUCAAAAUUAUCCGUUGGAUAUCCCCAUUGGUUUUCUACAACCGUGGGAUUGUAUCUGGCAAGAAGUCCAUGCACUUUAUACCACCUCCCACGUCAAAUCCUCAUCUAUAGGCUGCAAAAGUGGAAAAGAAAAAAGAAAGGUAUGUACAACCAUAAGAUGAAGAUGCUCAGGAUUCCUUGCAAAAUAUUUAGUCUGGCUGCGGCUGGCACUGAUGCCCUCUUGCCAAAAACAGUAGUAACAAUAGCACACACCUCAGGUAAUUUGUCCUCCUCAACCGAUGUUCAAUUGUGUCUCUGAAGCUUUUUAUGGGUACAAAUCAGGAACAGUACAUACUACGUGAAGGUGGUGCAGAGUUUUGUUAAGGUGGUGCAGAGUUGGAGACCUUAUGGCUCUAUAAACAUUUUGUGUAGCGAUCAUGUGCUAGACUAAUAAUUUUUAAGGUGAUAACAUUGUGCAUCAGAUAUUUUUCAUUCUCAUUAUGAUACUUGAUGUGUGGUUGAUUGUUGGGCUAAAUGUUUUAAUGACCUGAAUUGGUUACAAGUGCACCACAUUUUGCUUUUAAUAUCUUAAUCAUAUUUCAAACCGAUAUCUUACAGUUGGCCACUUAUACCUCUGCACAUAUGCAUGCAUCGUAGUGUAUAGUGUUAUCAUCCAACCUGAGGGAAAAUGAAAAAAUGUUGUAAUAAUACGAGUAUGCAUACAUAUGUAUAAUUAACAACCUGAGGGAAAUUUAUACUCAACAAGGUUCGAAUUUAGUUCUCGAUCUUCUGUAUGUAUCUUAGUAAAUUGGUCGCUACUUGCAGGAAAAUGUGUCGAACGAAAAAGUUAAUAAUGCAUCAGUACAACUUACAUCAUCAGUGGAUUUACAGUUCAAACUUCUGUGAGGGGCUGUGCUGCUGUCUGCCCAUGUCCCGAAGUGCAUUUGCUAGGAGAUAUUUAUCCUUUCUAUUUUACUUGAUCCAGUAUGCAUCCAUCCUGAUAGAUGAUAGGUUAGUCAACAAUUUGCUUUUAGCUUCUUCGGACUUUAAUAUUUUUUCGUGUCCCAAGAACUGCUGCAAGGCAUAUAUAAGGCGCAAGAGGUGAAAGAGGCAUAUACUAGACUUUAAUAAAGUUUUAGGCUUAAUUAUUUUGAUGGUCACAACUCACAACUGACAGAGUUGCAAGACUGUAUGUAUGUUAAUUAUUUUGGAUGGAAAAACACAUAGUCUGAUUGUGAUUGUGAUCUUGACUUUGUACAUCUUCUCAAUGUUUCCACUUUGAUAAUAUAGAAUUAGUAUGCAUGAAGAAUUAGUUAACUAUUUUUUAGAAUGGCAAGACUUUAAGAAAGUUGUCUGUUGUUUGUAAAUAUCGGAAUAUUAUUUGUUCCCACAAUUGUAUUGUUUCCAAAACAUUACUGACAGUGAAAUAAAUUUAAAUUCAUAUACUAUGAGGCAACAAAAUAGUAUCAUCAUGUUGAAUAAAUUUAAAUACUAUUUUUGUGUAUGGAUAAAUGGUUUUUUUGUUUUAACAAUAAACUUUCAACAACCUAAAAAAUAUACACUCAUGAUUAGUCAUUUUUAAUAUAGUUAAUAUUAUAAAAAAUAUUCUACUAAUAAAGUAUAAUCUGUACAACUAGCCCGUGCAGACUACACGGGUUGACUGCUAGUUAGUUAUAAUGUCAUACCUUGCACCAUUUUCAGAAAUCAACAGUUUACCCUUCCUGAUGCUUUAUCCCUUGGAAGAAAUCUUUAUGGUGCUUCCGUGCUCUCCUAAAAGCCAGUUUAAACAGACUUAAAGAGUAGUGUUAUCAACGGAUAGUAAGAGAGCACCCUCAUCUUGCUUUCAACCACUUGCUUCUGGGCUUCACUUAUAUUUUUAUGUACUGAACAAUCUCCGCAAAGUUCACAUUCUCCUACUGAAUUAAUAGUGCCAAGUCAUAAGUCUGCAGCUAAAUUUGAGGGAGAAGAAAUUAUCAAAAGACAACAUAGGAUAAAUGUUACAUAUUCGUAGAUUAUUAAUAUUAUUAGAAAUGCACUGCCUGCAUACUAUUUGGUGUCACCAAAAAUCCUUCGACUAUAGUGUUCAUCAUCUAAUGUAUAUUCUUGUUGUUUUCCUCAUGGCCCUGUUUUAAAUGUUUUGUACAUGAUGUCCCGGAAAAAACUGGAGUAUAUACCCAGGCCAAGUAUCACUUUCUUUAGAAAUAAGGCUAGGAUACCUGAUGUUAAAAUAGAGACCGUGCCAAUGAGUAAUUCAUCAAUGUUUUGUAGCUAGCAUUCCUAUUGUUCUAGAGAAGCUACUUAUGCUUCUUAGAGUAAGGGGCCAUGCCAUUUGGUUAACACUAUCCUAACAGUAUGCUGGGACACAUUCAUUCUAUGAUUCAUGGUAGAAAUAUUUGUUGGCUAUAUUCCAUUGAAUAGGUUAUGAUCUAAUCUGUGAAGCAAUUAAUUUCUGCAUUUUCUGUUGUUCAUUCGCGCUGUUAGAUUAUCCAGGAUCACAUUUAACUUGGUAGUACUUAAAUUGCUGCAACUUCACUUUUUUGUCUGUUUAGUGAAUAACGUGUGUACAUUUGUUCUUUCCUAUACGAUAUCAGAUCUGCCAUAUGCAUGAAGUGGAUGCACCGGGACCUCAAACCAGAGAAUUUCUUGUUUGCAAACUGGAAAGAAACGGCUGCACUGAAAGCAAUUGAUUUUGGCCUGUUUGUUUUGUUUUUCACUCCAAGUAGAGUCAAUCCUAAUAUCCUAUAUGGCUAUCGUUGAAGCUUUCCAUUUUGACCCGUCUGUCACUUGUCUAUGAUAUGGUCAGAGGACAAAGCUAAGCUGAUACAGUAGCCUGUCUUAUGCUAUAUUUAGUUUUUGUUUUGACCUUGUGAAACUUGCUACCUAUGGAUGAAACUGUGUAAUAUUGAUGACUAUUGGUAAUAUGUGUUGAAUAUGCUAUAUUGGUCAUAUAAAUAUAUU